AGCAGCCGCGGUAAUUCCAGCUCCAAUAGCGUAUAUUAAAGUUGUUGCAGUUAAAAAGCUCGUAGUUGAAUUUCGGGAUCAAUAUGUCGGUCGUGCCUUCGGUACGUACUGGUAUCAUUGGUCUCUCCUUUCUGACGAACCAUGAUGUCAUUAAUUUGGUGUUAUGGGGAGUUAGGACUGUUACUUUGAAAAAAUUAGAGUGUUUAAAGCAGGCUUUAGCUUGAAUACAUUAGCAUGGAAUAAUGAAAUAGGACGUUCGAACCUAUUUUGUUGGUUUCUAGGAUCAACGUAAUGAUUAAUAGGGAUAGUUGGGGGCAUUAGUAUUCAAUUGUCAGAGGUGAAAUUCUUGGAUUUAUUGAAGACUAACUACUGCGAAAGCAUUUGCCAAGGAUGUUUUCAUUAAUCAAGAACGAAAGUUAGGGGAUCGAAGACGAUCAGAUACCGUCGUAGUCUUAACCAUAAACUAUGCCGACUAGGGAUCGGAUGAUGUUAAUUUUUAAUGACUCAUUCGCGCCUUACG
This 520-nucleotide ribosomal RNA is filed under the name uncultured Glomus. RNAcentral describes it as "SSU rRNA". It matches the Rfam family "Eukaryotic small subunit ribosomal RNA", at positions 569 to 1092 of the family's 1831-position model. The record is from RNAcentral. Lineage: Eukaryota; Fungi; Glomeromycota; Glomeromycetes; Glomerales; Glomeraceae.